UGUAAAAUGCUAGUGAAUUUGGUAUACAAAUUUGCACCUGUUUCCAGUUGUUAGCAGUUGUAUAUGUAUAAGUCAUAUUUGUGAUGAUAGUGUGAGCAUUGUUCUAUGUAUUUCCUUAAUUCCUGAUUACUAGUUAUAUGGAGGCCGAUUUAUUAAACUAGCCCAGAAUGAGACUGUAUCCACCCAUCCCAAUUCCUUACCUUAGAUCUGUGUUAUGUGCAAUAAUAAUUUGUAAUCAGAAAUAAGUUAAAAUUUUUAAUGAUUUUAUUAUUUACAUGCAGGCAGGGUUUUUACUGACCAAAAGAAAG
Molecule: non-coding RNA, 308 nt
Organism: Pelobates cultripes (western spadefoot toad)
Lineage: Eukaryota; Metazoa; Chordata; Amphibia; Anura; Pelobatidae
Source: the annotation of a GenBank genome assembly